AACGUAGGAGGCGAGCGUUAUUCGGAUUUACUGGGCGUAAAGCGCGUGCAGGCGGUUCGAUAAGUUGGAUGUGAAAGCUCCUGGCUUAACUGGGAGAGGUCGUUCAAUACUGUCGGGCUAGAGGAUGAGAGAGGGAGGUGGAAUUCCGGGUGUAGUGGUGGAAUGCGUAGAUAUCCGGAGGAACACCAGUGGCGAAAGCGGCCUCCUGGCUCAUUUCUGACGCUAAGACGCGAAAGCUAGGGUAGCAAACGGG
Molecule: ribosomal RNA, 253 nt
Filed under: uncultured bacterium
Lineage: Bacteria
Description: partial 16S ribosomal RNA
Rfam family: Bacterial small subunit ribosomal RNA
Source: RNAcentral